Molecule: ribosomal RNA, 253 nt
Filed under: uncultured bacterium
Lineage: Bacteria
Description: partial 16S ribosomal RNA
Rfam family: Bacterial small subunit ribosomal RNA
Source: RNAcentral
GACAGAGGCCUCGAGCGUUAGGCGGAAUCACUGGGCUUAAAGCGUGUGUAGGCGGGCCCGUAAGUGUCUUGUGAAAUCCCACGGCUCAACCGUGGAACUGCUGGGCAUACUGCGGGUCUUGGGCCAACUAGGGGCAGCCGGAACAAGCGGUGGAGCGGUGAAAUGCGUAGAUAUCGUUUGAAACGCCAAUGGUGAAAACAGGUAGCUGGGGGUGUGCUGACACUGAGACACGAAAGCCAGGGGAGCGAACGGG